RNAcentral lists this ribosomal RNA (419 nucleotides) under uncultured bacterium. RNAcentral describes it as "bacterial SSU rRNA". It matches the Rfam family "Bacterial small subunit ribosomal RNA", at positions 359 to 776 of the family's 1533-position model. The record is from RNAcentral.
GAAUAUUGGUCAAUGGGCGAGAGCCUGAACCAGCCAUGCCGCGUGCAGGAAGACGGCCUUCUGGGUUGUAAACUGCUUUUAUACGGGAAGAAAAUGCCCUUGCGAGGGAAAUUGCCGGUACCGUAUGAAUAAGCACCGGCUAGCUCCGUGCCAGCCGCCGCGGUAAUACGGAGGGUGCAAGCGUUGCCCGGAUUUAUUGGGUUUAAAGGGUGCGUAGGCGGGUCUUUAAGUCAGUGGUGAAAGCCUGCAGCUCAACUGUAGAACUGCCAUUGAUACUGGAGGCCUUGAGUGUACUAGAGGUAGGCGGAAUUUAUGGUGUAGCGGUGAAAUGCAUAGAUACCAUAAAGAACACCGAUAGCGUAGGCAGCUUACUGGAGUACAACUGACGCUGAGGCACGAAAGCAUGGGUAGCGAACAGG